AAUUAAAACAAUUAAGGGCUUACGGUGGAUACCUAGGCAUUUAGAAGCGAUGAAGGGCGUGACUACCGACGAAAUGCUUCGAGGAGCUGGAAGUAAGCUGUGAUUCGGAGGUUCCCGAAUAAGGUAACUUUUUAUACUACCUGCUGAAUAUAUAAGUAGGCAAGAGCUAACUUAGUGAACUGAAACAUCUUAGUAGCUAAAGGAAAAGAAAGCAAACGCGAUUCCCUUAGUAGCGGCGAGCGAAAAGGGACAAGCCCAAACCACUUUAACGAGUUUUAGUGGGGUUGCGGGACAGCUUUUAAAAAUAUUGAUUAUGUUAGAUGAAACAAUUGGAAUAUUGUACUGUAUAAGGUGAUAGUCCUGUAAUCAAAAAUAUGUCAUAUUUUUUGCUGAAUCCCAAGUAGCAUGGGACACGAGAAAUCCCGUGUGAAUCUACGAGGACCACCUCGUAAGGCUAAAUAUUCCUAAAUGACCGAUAGUGAACUAGUACCGUGAGGGAAAGGUGAAAAGAACCCCGGGAGGGGAGUGAAAUAGAACAUGAAACCGUAAGCUUACAAGCAGUAGGAGAAUGACUUAUCGUUUGACUAUGUGCAUGUUGAAGAAUGAGCCGGCGACUUGUAGGUAGUGGCAGGUUAAGAUAGAGAAUAUCGGAGCCAUAGUGAAAGCGAGCUUUAAUUAGAGCGUCAGUCGCUAUUUACAGACCCGAACCCGGAUGAUCUAGCCAUGACCAGGGUGAAGCUUAGGUAACACUAAGUGGAGGUCCGAACCGACUGAUGUUGAAAAAUCAGCGGAUGAGUUGUGGUUAGGGGUGAAAUGCCAAUCGAAUCCGGAGCUAGCUGGUUCUCCCCGAAAUGCGUUUUGGCGCAGCGAUUGAUGAUUUAUCUUAGGGGUAAAGCACUGUUUCGGUGCGGGCUGCGAGAGCGGUACCAAAUCGAUGCAAACUCUGAAUACUAAGUAAUAAAAAUCAAUCAGUGAGACAGUGGGGGAUAAGCUUCAUUGUCAAAAGGGAAACAGCCCAGACCAUCAGCUAAGGCCCCUAAAUAAUUACUAAGUGAUAAAGGAAGUGAGAAUGCAUAAACAACCAGAAGGUUUGCUUAGAAGCAGCAAUCCUUUAAAGAGUGCGUAAUAGCUCACUGGUUUAGUGGUCUUGCGCCGAAAAUGAAAGGGACUAAGUAAUUUGCCGAAGCUGUGGGAUGUUUUAUCAUCGGUAGGGGAGCGUUCUGUAAAAGAUUGAAGCAUUAACGUAAGUGGAUGUGGACUAAGCAGAAGUGAGAAUGUCGGCUUGAGUAGCGAAAACAUUGGUGAGAAUCCAAUGCCCCGAAAACCUAAGGUUUCCUUUGGAAGGUUCGUCCGCAAAGGGUAAGUCAGGUCCUAAGGCAAGGUUUAAUAACGUAGUCGAUGGAUAACAGGUUAAUAUUCCUGUACUAUUUAUUACUGAUAACGAGGGACGAAGAAGGCUAAAUCAGCCGGAUGUUGGUUACCGGUUUAAACUUUUAAGGUAAAGAAAGAUAGAGAAAAUAUCUGGAGCUAAGAAGUGAGUACAAAGUAUUAAGGUACUAAAGUGAUUGAUGUCAUACUUCCAAGAAAAGCUCGAUAUAUCUUAAGUAAUAAAUACCUGUACCUUAAACUGACACAAGUAGGUAAGUAGAGAAUACUAAGGGGCUCGAGAUAACUCUCUCUAAGGAACUCGGCAAAAUAGCUCCGUAACUUCGGAAGAAGGAGUACCCUUGUAGGGUUGCAAUAACCAGGCCCAAGCGACUGUUUAGCAAAAACACAGGUCUCCGCAAAGUCGUAAGACAACGUAUGGGGGCUGACGCCUGCCCAGUGCCGGAAGGUUAAAGAAAUCGGUUAAUAUUUGAAAUGAAGCUGAUAACUGAAGCCCCGGUGAACGGCGGCCGUAACUAUAACGGUCCUAAGGUAGCGAAAUUCCUUGUCGGGUAAGUUCCGACCCGCACGAAAGGCGUAACGAUUUGGGCACUGUCUCAGAGAGAGACUCGGCGAAAUAGAAUUGUCUGUGAAGAUGCGGACUACCUGCACCUGGACAGAAAGACCCUAUGAAGCUUUACUGUAGCUUGAAAUUGAAUUUGGGUUUAAUUUGCGCAGUAUAGGUGGGAGGCAAAGAAGAUAUGUUUGCGGAUAUAUGUGAGCCAAUAGUGAGAUACCACUCUAAUUAAACUAAGAUUCUAAUAUUGAUUGCCAUAAGCUGGCCAAUAAACAGUUUCUGGUGGGCAGUUUGACUGGGGCGGUCGCCUCCUAAAAAGUAACGGAGGCGUGCAAAGGUUUCUUCAGGCUGGUCAGAAAUCAGUCGUAGAGUAUAAAGGCAUAAAGAAGCUUGACUGUGAGACCUACAAGUCGAGCAGAGACGAAAGUCGGCCUUAGUGAUCCGACAGUUCUGAGUGGAAAGGCUGUCGCUCAACGGAUAAAAGUUACUCUAGGGAUAACAGGCUGAUCUCCCCCAAGAGUUCACAUCGACGGGGAGGUUUGGCACCUCGAUGUCGGCUCAUCGCAUCCUGGGGCGGUAGUACGUCCCAAGGGUUGGGCUGUUCGCCCAUGAAAGCGGUACGCGAGCUGGGUUCAGAACGUCGUGAGACAGUUCGGUCCAUAUCCGGUGUAGGCGUUAGAGUAUUGAAAGGAUUUCUCCUUAGUACGAGAGGACCGGGAGAAACAUACCUCUGGUGUACCAGUUAUUGUGCCAACAGUAAACGCUGGGUAGCCAAGUAUGGACAGGAUAACCGCUGAAAGCAUAUAAGCGGGAAGCUAACCUUAAGAUGAGUACUCUUACCAAUAAAAUGGAUAAGAUCACGGUCAGAUUAACCGUUUGAUAGGCAUUAAGUGUAAGUAUAGUAAUAUAUUUAGCUGAGGUGUACUAAUAGAUCGAAUGUUUUAUAACAUGU
RNAcentral lists this ribosomal RNA (2894 nucleotides) under Gracilaria edulis. RNAcentral's name for it is "23S large subunit ribosomal RNA". It matches the Rfam family "Bacterial large subunit ribosomal RNA". Lineage: Eukaryota; Rhodophyta; Florideophyceae; Gracilariales; Gracilariaceae. The record is from RNAcentral.